AGCGAACGCUGGCGGCAGGCCUAACACAUGCCAGUCGAACGAACUCUUCGGAGUUAGUGGCGGACGGGUGAGUAACACGUGGGAACGUGCCUUUAGGUUCGGAAUAACUCAGGGAAACUUGUGCUAAUACCGAAUGUGCCCUUCGGGGGAAAGAUUUAUCGCCUUUAGAGCGGCCCGCGUCUGAUUAGCUAGUUGGUGAGGUAAAGGCUCACCAAGGCGGCGAUCAGUAGCUGGUCUGAGAGGAUGAUCAGCCACAUUGGGACUGAGACACGGCCCAAACUCCUACGGGAGGCAGCAGUGGGGAAUCUUGCGCAAUGGGCGAAAGCCUGACGCAGCCAUGCCGCGUGAAUGAUGAAGGUCUUAGGAUUGUAAAAUUCUUUCACCGGGGACGAUAAUGACGGUACCCGGAGAAGAAGCCCCGGCUAACUUCGUG
RNAcentral lists this ribosomal RNA (433 nucleotides) under uncultured bacterium. RNAcentral describes it as "partial 16S ribosomal RNA". It matches the Rfam family "Bacterial small subunit ribosomal RNA", at positions 29 to 507 of the family's 1533-position model. The record is from RNAcentral.